This is a long non-coding RNA of Hemicordylus capensis (graceful crag lizard), 556 nucleotides long. RefSeq lists it as uncharacterized. NCBI's taxonomy places the organism in Eukaryota, Metazoa, Chordata, Lepidosauria, Squamata, Cordylidae. The transcript has 3 exons. The record is from RefSeq and is a predicted model, not a curated record.
UCUCCUUCCUGCUUUUCAGAUCAAGUGUGCUGAGGAGGAGGGAAGACUUGGAGCAUUUCUUCCAGCAGCAAGAGGCAAUGGGGCAAGGACCAGAGCUAUUUAUGGAAUAGCUGCUAAGGCCAAAACAUAACAGGAGGCUUGGCAGGAGAAGAUGGAGCAGUUUUACCAAGACAAAUAAUGAGCGGAACGUCUGAAGAAAUUGGGCUACAUAGCUACAAGGAGUGGGACUGCCAGAACCCUGUAUUUGGAAAGAAGAGAUAUACAAGAGAAAACACAAAACUAUCGUCAAAGAAGGGUCUGUCUUCAAGGCAAGGGCAGAUCCUCCCAGAAUUAACCAUGAAGAUGUUUUCCUUUAAAUUCUCCAUCUGCUGUCAGGUCCCAGCCAAGUGGGGACAGGACUGAGCUGAAAAUGCAGACCCACCCCACUUGCAUUCUGAAUCCCAGCCAAGGUCACAGAUCAAAAGGUCCUGUAGGAAGCAAAUGUAGGGUCGCAUCUUCCUGAAGUCAGAGGAUGGAUUAUUGAACUGCAACAUGAGCCCACCAGAGUAAAAACUCC